AUGGUGAUGGAGGAGGAGGUGGUGGUGCAGCCGCCGCCGUUGGGGGAGGAGGAGGCGGUGCAGGAGGUUCCGGAUCCGGAUGCGCCUGCGUUGCUCCUGGCGCAGUGGGUGACGGCGACGCUGGGGAACGCGGAGCACUACAGGCACGUCGUCGCCACCAGGGUGGAAGACUACGUCAUCCCCCGCUGCGAGGCCGCCCGCGGGACGCUCCUCGAGGUCGCGGAGGUGCUGCUCCAGGAGCCCAUCGACGCAGCGGAGACCAUCUACACCGACUUGCUCGAGGACGUGUCCAGCGGCAUGAAUUCGCUCCUCAUCGGGCCCGCCGCCAACAUCGUCGACAGCCUCUUCAACUGGCCCGGGCCGCUCGCGGGCGCCACCGACGCCGCCAGGGCCCUCGUCCACGCCACUUUCUACUACCCGGAGCCGGAGGGCGGGCCACUCGAGGAGGCCCGUCGCGAGCUCGGGUACCUCUUCGAUGUCGCCCACGCCGACGCCGCGCGCAACUUCAGCCUCUACGCCGCGAUUCUCGGUUUCAAUGCCCUACCCGGCGGCCAAGCUGCGUACGGUCGCUGGGUCGGCGACCACCUCCACGCCGACGUCCUGGCAAGGGAGGCGCUGCAGUUGCUGAACUACGCCGUCAAGAGGAGCCUUGCGGCUGACCUCGCCGUCCGUCUCUGCGGGAUCAUGCCCGCGUCCAGGGUGCGACCCGGGGCCGGGCCGCUCGUGCCGAAGGCGGCGCUGAGGCUGCAGCAGACCAUCGGCGCGGUCAACAACGUGCUGGCGGCGCUGCAGGACAUGCGAGACACCUUGGUGGACCUGGAGCAGUCCGUGCUCGACGUCACCGGCCAGGAUCCUCCGCCUCCAUGA
Molecule: ribosomal RNA, 867 nt
Filed under: Triticum aestivum (bread wheat)
Lineage: Eukaryota; Viridiplantae; Streptophyta; Magnoliopsida; Poales; Poaceae
Description: partial small subunit ribosomal RNA
Source: RNAcentral